ACACGUGGGUAACCUGCCUUAUAGUGGGGGAUAGCCUUUCGAAAGGAAGAUUAAUACCGCAUAAGAUUGUAGUAUCGCAUGAUAUAGCAAUUAAAGGAGCAACCCGCUAUAAGAUGGACCCGCGUCGCAUUAGCUAGUUGGUGAGGUAAUGGCUCACCAAGGCGACGAUGCGUAGCCGACCUGAGAGGGUGAUCGGCCACAUUGGGACUGAGACACGGCCCAGACUCCUACGGGAGGCAGCAUG
This 244-nucleotide ribosomal RNA is filed under the name uncultured bacterium. RNAcentral's name for it is "partial 16S ribosomal RNA". It matches the Rfam family "Bacterial small subunit ribosomal RNA", at positions 113 to 353 of the family's 1533-position model. The record is from RNAcentral.